GGCGGCGCGCCUAACACAUGCAAGUCGAACGGAGCUUGCACUUCUGAAGUUUCGGAUGGACGAGGUACAAGCUUAGUGGCGAACGGGUGAGUAACACGUGAAGAACCUGCCCUUCAGUGGGGGACAACAGUUGGAAACGACUGCUAAUACCGCAUAAGACCACAGUACCGCAUGGUACAGUGAUCAAAGGAUUUAUUCGCUGAAGGAUGGCUUCGCGUCCGAUUAGGUAGUUGGUGAGGUAACGGCCCACCAAGCCUACGAUCGGUAGCCGGACUGAGAGGUUGAUCGGCCACAUUGGGACUGAGACACGGCCCAGACUCCUACGGGAGGCAGCAGUGGGGAAUAUUGCACAAUGGAGGAAACUCUGAUGCAAGCGACGCCGCGUGAGGGAAGAAGGUCUUCGGAUUGUAAACCUCUGUCUUCAGGGACGAUAAUGACGGUACCUGAGGAGGAAGCACCAGCUAACUACGUGCCAGCCGCUGC
This 483-nucleotide ribosomal RNA is filed under the name uncultured bacterium. Its description in RNAcentral is "bacterial SSU rRNA". It matches the Rfam family "Bacterial small subunit ribosomal RNA", at positions 38 to 518 of the family's 1533-position model. The record is from RNAcentral.